Non-coding RNA from Sesamum indicum (sesame), 1806 nucleotides. Lineage: Eukaryota; Viridiplantae; Streptophyta; Magnoliopsida; Lamiales; Pedaliaceae. The record is from RefSeq and is a predicted model, not a curated record.
UCUAUUGUAAGAGCGGCAUCAGUCGUCUUCUUAGGCACCUAUCUCCGCCGUUCUCGUCCUGCGAUCGCCAAUCUCGUGUGCCGACCACCAUUUGGCCUCCGCGUCUUAUUUCUUUAGAAUUGUUGAAUGCAGGAAUUCAAUGAGUCCAAGAGGACGAAUUCAACUGGAAGUCGAAAGAUCAAGAUUCAGUGAAUUAAAUAUGAUAUUGUUGGUGCCUUGUGGUUCUAUUACAAAAAUGAAGGAAAUAUGCUAGUGUUUUCUAUUCUCAGGCUCCAGUGCCUCUAGAAUUUCUGGGAAAAAUGAAGAAGAUGGCACUUUCAUUGUAUUCCCAGGUGUGCAGGCCGUGGAUUGGACCGUAAUCUUGGUGUUUGGCUGAUCUUCCCACGAUUAGAAUGGCUCAGCAGACUGUUUGAGUUUGAAUUAAUUGAGGAUUCCCUUGUUUUGGAGAAUGAGGGACAAUCAUGAUUUCUCUUCGGAUUAGCUGCAUUAGAGCGCCUGAUAAAGUUCACAGGAUGCAAAAAUUUUCUCCUCGUGGGACAUUGUUGGGAAGCCGAUUAGCACCAUUAUCCACUUAUGGGCAUCUAAAACAUUAAAGGUAAGAGAAACAUCACUUUGCAUCACCUAAUCUGAUAACAACUAGUAGCUGCACACAACUGCCACAAAUAAUGAUUCUGUAGUUUCUUCUUAUAAUCUUGAAGAACAAUUUUUAUUGGUAGUAUUGGAGAAAUUACCUUAUGCAUGUGCUUAAUUUGUUUGAUUGGUAAUUUAGAUAGAAAAUCUGUUUGCCUAACAUUGAACUUAAGUAAUGUUAUUUCAUUCUCUGUUUUCACUAGGCACGUACUGUGGGCAAAGAAUAACGGAAAAGCUCUUGUCUAUCUAUCGAAUUUUAGAUAUUGAUUUUUCAUAGAAAGAUAUCUGCACUUCUUGAAAUUUGAUAGUUUAUGACACUUUGCUGCAAGAUUUUCACUUUUGAUGUUUCUUUUCUAAAGUUCGAAAACUUACAACAAACUGCAAAUCCAAGUUCGGGGAGUUUUAUCUUCAAUUAAUUAAAGCAAAAAUCAGACAACCAUUGUUUACAUAUGUUGAGUUUGUCAAUUACACCAUGGUGAUGGUCUUACAACUACUCGAAGGUAAUGGGAAUUCAUGCACUGACAGCUUGACUUUAAUCAACAUAUGUGUCACUUUCUGACCCGUAAGUAAGUUUUUAUUUCCUACUAUUAUCCUUGUUACCAUCAGUUUCAGCCUAUCUCCUAACUUUAUAUGUGUGUGUAUAUAUAUUGGACUGUAAGGGCCAUCUGUAUGCUGUCUUUCAAUAUGAGUUUAAAAAUCUGGCCGAAUUGAUGGGCCAACAGAGCAUACUUUUUUAAUGCAUCUAGACAGGUUUCUUGAUCGUGAAGAACUUUUGCCAUGUUGUUUAUGCUUUUACAAUUCUGUCUUAAUGCAAUUUGCUGCUAGUGAUCCUUCCUUUGCUAGAACUUUGGUUUGGAAAAGUUUUGGCUUUGAUCGGUAACUGGGAGUCUACUACUUUAGGAGCAGGUAAUGCUAGUGAAGAUGAUCCCGACAAGUAUUUAGCCGAAUGAUACAGUCUUCAACUUGCUUCACAAUAACACACUAGCUUUUAUGACACACACAAGAACCUUGCGGUUUCUUUUCCGCAACAUCAACAUCCAUUAUCUUUUGAACAAAUUUGGCCUAUUAUAAAUAAGAAUACUUUAUUUGUAGUACUUUUGGUCUUCAGUGGAAAAGGCCUUUGUUUAGACUUGAGGAUCAAGUUCCUCUUUUUUAUAUUAAAAUUACCUGUUGCAA